ACCUGGCUGGCUCAGUUGGCAGAGCAUGCAACUUUUAACCUCAGGGUCAUGAGUUCAAGCCCCAUGCUGGGUA
Molecule: transfer RNA, 73 nt
Filed under: Mustela putorius furo (domestic ferret)
Lineage: Eukaryota; Metazoa; Chordata; Mammalia; Carnivora; Mustelidae
Rfam family: tRNA
About the family: Transfer RNA (tRNA) molecules are approximately 80 nucleotides in length. Their secondary structure includes four short double-helical elements and three loops (D, anti-codon, and T loops).
Source: Rfam by way of RNAcentral